RNAcentral lists this ribosomal RNA (427 nucleotides) under uncultured bacterium. RNAcentral describes it as "bacterial SSU rRNA". It matches the Rfam family "Bacterial small subunit ribosomal RNA", at positions 355 to 774 of the family's 1533-position model. RNAcentral also lists the same sequence under 1 other name. The record is from RNAcentral.
UGGGGAAUUUUGGACAAUGGGCGAAAGCCUGAUCCAGCCAUGCCGCGUGAGUGAAGAAGGCCUUCGGGUUGUAAAGCUCUUUUAGUCGGAAAGAAAGAGUUGCAAUGAAUAAUUGUGAUUUAUGACGGUACCGACAGAAAAAGCACCGGCUGACUACGUGCCAGCAGCCGCGGUAAUACGUAGGGUGCGAGCGUUAAUCGGAAUUACUGGGCGUAAAGGGUGCGCAGGCGGUCUUGCAAGUCAGAUGUGAAAGCCCCGGGCUUAACCUGGGAAUUGCGUUUGAAACUACAAGGCUAGAGUGCAGCAGAGGGGAGUGGAAUUCCAUGUGUAGCAGUGAAAUGCGUAGAGAUGUGGAAGAACACCGAUGGCGAAGGCAGCUCCCUGGGUUGACACUGACGCUCAUGCACGAAAGCGUGGGGAGCAAACA